GAUGAACGCUGGCUACAGGCUUAACACAUGCAAGUCGAGGGGAAACGACGGGGAAGCUUGCUUCCCCGGGCGUCGACCGGCGCACGUGUGAGUAACGCGUAUCCAACCUGCCUCUGACUGAGGGAUAACCCGUCGAAAGUCGGCCUAAUACCUCAUGGCAUCGUCUGCGGGCAUCCAACGACGAUUAAAGAUUUCAUCGGUCAGGGAUGGGGAUGCGUCUGAUUAGCUUGUUGGCGGGGUAACGGCCCACCAAGGCUACGAUCAGUAGGGGUUCUGAGAGGAAGGUCCCCCACAUUAGAACUGAGACACGGUCCAAACUCCUACGGGAGGCAGCAGUGAGGAAUAUUGGUCAAUGGGCGGGAGCCUGAACCAGCCAAGUAGCGUGCAGGAUGACGGCCCUAUGGGUUGUAAACUGCUUUUAUGCGGGGAUAAAGUGAGGGACGUGUCCUUCAUUGCAGGUACCGCAUGAAUAAGGACCGGCUAAUUCCGUG
This 491-nucleotide ribosomal RNA is filed under the name uncultured bacterium. RNAcentral's name for it is "partial 16S ribosomal RNA". It matches the Rfam family "Bacterial small subunit ribosomal RNA", at positions 28 to 507 of the family's 1533-position model. The record is from RNAcentral.